AUAAGUGUAACUGCUGUAUGCUUCUUAUUUAUUUGAUACAUAGUUGAAAAGAGACAUGCAACCAUCAAGUUUACCUUUUCUUACAUCUGUUUUCGCUGUUGAUCCAAAAGAAUGCAAAAAUUCCAGUUUGAAGCGCUUUCCAAAUUUGCAACAAACUAGGAAAACAUUCUUUCUUGACCCCAGAAUGUCAGUCAGAUCUCUCCUUAGAUCAUGAAGAUCACAAAUGAAAAAUUAUAUCCCUGAAUAUUAUGUUUUUGCAAGUAUUCAUCCAGUUGCUGUUUAUACAUCAGUACAGACUCUGAUAAAACCACUUCUUCAGGCUGAGAAUUCCACAUCCUUAAUGUUCUUACUGUAAGAAAUCCUUUCCUUUGCCUUAGACUAAAUCUCCUUUCUUCCAGUCUAAAUGCGUGUCCUAUGUAUAGUCCUGUUUAUAAUUAGAUAAAUUGACAAUAGUCUAUAUUGGCCCCAAAUAUAUUUGUAAAAUGCUAUCAGAUCCCCUCUGAGGUGCCGUUUUUCGAAACUAAGCAGAUUUAAAUUUGUUAACCUUUCUACAUAACUACAAUGUUCCAUUCCUUUUUAUUAAUUUUGUAUCCCACCUCGGCACUUUUUCUACUGCCAUAAUAUCCUUUAGAACAGGUGCCCAAAAUUGCACAAUAUAUUCAAGUUGUGGUAUUACCAGUAAUUUAUAAAGAGUCAAAAUCAUCCGAGAAUGAAUGCCCCUUUUUAUUCAUAACAAUACCUUACUGGCCUUAGCAACUACUGAUUGACAUUGCAAAUUGUUGCCUAGUUUGUUGUCUAUAACAAUACCCAAAUCAUUCUUGUGUGUUGCUAUCCUUAAUUCAUUACCGUUUAGGGUAUAAGUUGCUUGUGCAUUCUACCCAGUCAUAUUAUAAAAGUUUAGAAUGUAUACAUCAUAGCCUCUAAGCAAUCUUCUGUACAUACCACACAUCUAUCCAUAGUCCUUGAACAUUGUACACAAGGCAAAAAUUAAUUGUUAUUUUACUUCCACAAGCUUUGACACUUUAUCAAUUUGCCUUUUGAAACAAUUGGUAUUAUUUGAUAACGUUAAAACAUGUUUUACACAUUAUACAAUGGUAACUUUAAUAAAUUACUUUAUUGAAAUAAAGCAAAUAAAAUCUUUCAACGAGUCAUUAAAAGGGGAAUAUAAAUUGGAAAUGUGCUUUUAUAUACACUGUAUAUACAUAAUAUAUAAGCAGUUUGGGUAUAUAAAGACUAUAGAAUUCGGAGUGUCAUUAAUGCUUGUCUCUGCUGUUAUAUAAUUUUCGAAUUAUGUAACCAAAGGAAUAUACAUGUAUAUCACAUUUAAAAACAAAAUUCUAGCAUUUUAGGCUAUAUUCAAUUCCCAUUAUCAGGG
Molecule: non-coding RNA, 1375 nt
Organism: Pelobates cultripes (western spadefoot toad)
Lineage: Eukaryota; Metazoa; Chordata; Amphibia; Anura; Pelobatidae
Source: the annotation of a GenBank genome assembly